RNAcentral lists this ribosomal RNA (465 nucleotides) under Vreelandella stevensii. Its description in RNAcentral is "partial 16S ribosomal RNA". It matches the Rfam family "Bacterial small subunit ribosomal RNA", at positions 338 to 795 of the family's 1533-position model. Lineage: Bacteria; Pseudomonadati; Pseudomonadota; Gammaproteobacteria; Oceanospirillales; Halomonadaceae. The record is from RNAcentral.
CCUACGGGGGGCAGCAGUGGGGAAUAUUGGACAAUGGGCGAAAGCCUGAUCCAGCCAUGCCGCGUGUGUGAAGAAGGCCUUCGGGUUGUAAAGCACUUUCAGUGGGGAAGAAAGCCUUGGGGCUAAUACCCUCGAGGAAGGACAUCACCCACAGAAGAAGCACCGGCUAACUCCGUGCCAGCAGCCGCGGUAAUACGGAGGGUGCGAGCGUUAAUCGGAAUUACUGGGCGUAAAGCGCGCGUAGGCGGUCUGAUAAGCCGGUUGUGAAAGCCCCGGGCUCAACCUGGGAACGGCAUCCGGAACUGUCAGGCUAGAGUGUAGGAGAGGGAGGUAGAAUUCCCGGUGUAGCGGUGAAAUGCGUAGAGAUCGGGAGGAAUACCAGUGGCGAAGGCGGCCUUCUGGACUGACACUGACGCUGAGGUGCGAAAGCGUGGGUAGCAAACAGGAUUAGAUACCCUAGUAGUC